This 1402-nucleotide unclassified non-coding RNA is filed under the name Hevea brasiliensis (rubber tree). The record is from RNAcentral. Lineage: Eukaryota; Viridiplantae; Streptophyta; Magnoliopsida; Malpighiales; Euphorbiaceae.
AUAGGUAACAUGGGAGAGUUGCUUGGCAUGUAAGCCAUGUUUGCAACUGCUGGCGCUGCUGCAGUGGCUGAUGUUGGAGUUGCAAAGGAUGGACAGAAAAUUUUUGCUCCUGGAUUGAGUUUGAACUCCUUAGAGCUUUUAGUGGAUUCUGAACUUUGUGGAGAGACUGCAUCAGCUGAAGAAGCCAAUGAACCACAACGUGAUUCUGCGGCCACAUCAACCAAUGCAUUGGAAGCAGUUGAAAUACUUGAACAAACAGCACUUGCAGAAGAGCUGCCUGCAGAAGCAGACCUUCCAAAGCAUUGACUGUCUGGUUUAACAAGUGCAAGCAUUGGAUCACAAGAUACUCCAUUAGGUAACAACUUUGUCAUUGUUUGUCCUUCCUCAACAGCCUUGGCUUCGAUUAUACUUGAGCUUUGAACUUCAUUAUCAUUCUUCUCCCCUUGAAGUUCAGAAUUCUGUUUGUGAUGAUCCUGCUCCCCUUGUGACCCAUUAUCUCCAACCUGCCUUCCAAUAACUGUGGAAUUGAAAGCUUCUUCACUUUUUGAAUUAUUUAUCCUCUCUCUCUUCCCAGGUUCCACUUCUGCGGCAGUUGCUGCAUGAUUUGGUAAAACUUUUCUCCCUUCAUAUUCCUUUCCAGCUUUUGUUGGCAUGCAAACAUUACCAAAACUAUUCCUGUUUUUGGUUGAAAUCCUACUGUUUUCAUUUUUUUUAUCUGUGGCCGACUUGUUAGAUUCUUUUGCCUCACUCACUAUAAUCUCAGAGGAAGGAAUAUUGACCACAUUUCUUUCUACCUCAUCACUAGCUACAUUUCCCAUGGCACCAUCAGCUGGGAAUAGAAUUCCCUUAGCUACAACUUGAACGAGAUCAUCUGAAAGAAUUACAAGCGUUUCUAUCACACUCCCAUUAGCCACAUUUCCAUCACAUUUCCCCUUCUUAAUCAAUUUUGCUUCCUUUAAAAUAAUACCAUAGUCCUUGUCGACAGAAGCAGUGUGGAAAGUUCCAGAAUAGACAGAGCCAUCCCUGACAUGCACAUCAACGGGUAGUCCAAUUAUACACAUGGUAGCAAACAAUAAGGCUUCACUUAAACAAGAUUCUGUUUCAGCCUCUACCCUCUUUCUGUUACCCAUCACUCUCUCUCUCUCUCCCUCUCCGGUGGCAAUUCAAUUAAACUCUCUGUGAAAAGCUUUGUAGAUAUCUACAGAUGCAAAAGAUUUGGCUAAUGGCGCCUGCAAAACCUUGAAUCAAUAGGAAAGAUGCGAGAAGUGAGGAAAUGUCUUCUGUGUCUGUUUUGCGCUGUAACGAAGAUACAGAAGGAAUGGGAAAUUGGGAAAUACGGUUCCUUUCGUGUGAUGUGAUGUGUCUCUGGUCUUCUGUUCAAGGCUGUAACUUCUCAGCAGCU